GUGCUUUUGAGGGAGUGAAUUGCCUUGAAGGUUGUGGAAUAACACUCAUGCUAAUCUGAGCGUCCUUGCAAGUGCUUUAAAGGUCUUAAACUAUCUGGAGAGUGUCUUAGGCCGAGUGUUCCCAGUGUGCUGCGAACCUGCACUAUACGCCUGUUCAGUGUGGACUUGCACUCCUGCCAUUCCCCCAGGGGCCGUUUUGAACCAGGGCCAAAACUUUCACAGCGGGUCAAAAGUCUGCACUCCUCCUCUCACUAACCCACAGGCGGGUGCCCUGCUCACCUCACACCAGAGGCAGACCCUGCUGGAGGACUGAGGUUAGCGCACACCGCUAACAGCACUGAAACCAGGGCAGUGCCGUAUGAUGGGCCCUUCAUGAUUUCCAAGCAAAGGAGUGCGGUUGCCCAGAGCAUGACUGUACAAAUGAAUGACGCGUCAGGGAAAACAUGUUGCCUUCUCUAAAGAGCUGAACCUUAAGGGCCCCCUAGAACAUAAAGAUCGGCCGUGUGGUUUCGGUCAGGAGGGACGCUAACCGAAUCCAGUUGGUAGCUAGUGUGCUGGAAUGAAUGUGGUGACAGGGCUAGUAAUUACCCACAGAAUGAAGGGCAGCAAUUGCUAAAGCCUAUUCAGUUCUUUUCUGCAUUAGGAGGCCAUUUUACAUGUCUCUCAAAAUGCACCACAAAGGAUGGCCAACACCCGUUUCUAUCUUUAGAAGGGGGAAUCCACCCAAAGCUGUCAAUCAUGUGGUCUAAUCUCUCAGAAAAAAAAAGGUAAGUCAGAGCACACAGCUUAAUACUGUAAAUACAUUAAUUUAUACAGAAAUAUAAAUUGAGAACAUCAGCCAUUUUCUCAAUGAAGGCAUCCCCAUUUAUUAGAUCAAGAAGCAUGAUUGUGAUUAUGUAGGGAAAAUGUGGGAGAAAAGUAAAGCAUGUGUACACCUGAAAAUAUGCAGCAUUUCUAAGAAAACAAGCACAGGACUAAAGAUUUAUCUGCUUCUGGACUUUACUCACUGCUUACUUUUUCUUGGACUCCGUCUAUGUUUUUCCAAGAGCUGGGAACUAUGCAGAAAAAGGUCAAAGAAAUAAUGAUUUGGAAAAAAAAAAAAUGUGUAUUAAUUUUUUGUAAUACUAAAUUACAGCCUUAUGAAAAGCAGGGAUUAAUGGACUCAGUCCUGCUUUGUAUAUCUCACUGGCACUCAGUGAAGAAACACUUUAUAAAUCACACUAGACG
Cyprinus carpio carpio is the source of this 1227-nucleotide long non-coding RNA. NCBI's taxonomy places the organism in Eukaryota, Metazoa, Chordata, Actinopteri, Cypriniformes, Cyprinidae. The record is from Ensembl.